UACGUAGGGUGCGAGCGUUAAUCGGAAUUACUGGGCGUAAAGCGUGCGCAGGCGGUUAUAUAAGACAGAUGUGAAAUCCCCGGGCUCAACCUGGGAACUGCAAUUGUGAAUGUAAAGAUAGAGUGCGGGCGAGGGGGGUGGAAUUCCGCGUGUAGCAGUGAAAUGCGUAGAUAUGCGGAGGAACACCGAUGGCGAAGGCAAUCCCCUGGGCCUGCACUGACGCUCAUGCACGAAAGCGUGGGGAGCAAACAGGAUUAGAUACCCUGGUAGUCCACGCCCUAAACGAUGUCAACUGGUUGUUGGGUCUUCACUGACUCAGUAACGAAGCUAACGCGUGAAGUUGACCGCCUGGGGAGUACGGCCGCAAGGUUG
Molecule: ribosomal RNA, 372 nt
Filed under: uncultured prokaryote
Description: bacterial SSU rRNA
Rfam family: Bacterial small subunit ribosomal RNA
Source: RNAcentral